AGAGUUUGAUCAUGGCUCAGAACGAACGCUGGCGGCGUGCCUAACACAUGCAAGUCGCGCGAGAAAGGGGACUUCGGUCUCUAAGUAAAGCGGCGAAUGGGUGAGUAUCGCGUGGGCAAUCUGCCCUCGAGACCGGGACAACUUGGCGAAAGCCGGGCUAAUACCGGAUAAGCCCACGGGGGCUUCGGCUCCUGCGGGAAAAGGGUGCCCUCUCCAUGGAAGGUACCGCUCGAAGAUGGGCCCGCGUCCGAUUAGCUUGUUGGUGAGGUAACGGCUCACCAAGGCUAAGAUCGGUAGCUGGUCUGAGAGGAUGAUCAGCCACACUGGGACUGAGACACGGCCCAGACUCCUACGGGAGGCAGCAGUGGGGAAUAUUGCGCAAUGGGGGAAACCCUGACGCAGCAACGCCGCGUGAGUGAUGAAGGCCCUCGGGUCGUAAAGCUCUGUCAGGUGGGACGAAUGGCCGCGGGUGAAUAACCCGUUGGCUUUGACGGUACCGCCAAAGGAAGCACCGGCUAACUCCGUGCCAGCAGCCGCGGUAAUACGGAGGGUGCGAGCGUUGUUCGGAAUUACUGGGCGUAAAGAGCUUGUAGGCGGCUCGUUAAGUCUGAUGUGAAAGCCCUCGGCUCAACCGGGGAAGUGCAUUGGAUACUGGCGAGCUUGAGUAUGGGAGAAGGAGAGCGGAAUUNCCCGGUGUAGAGGUGAAAUUCGUAGAUAUCGGGAGGAACACCAGUGGCGAAGGCGGCUCUCUGGACCAAUACUGACGCUGAAAACCAAAGCGUGGGGAGCAAAC
This 793-nucleotide ribosomal RNA is filed under the name uncultured delta proteobacterium. RNAcentral's name for it is "bacterial SSU rRNA". It matches the Rfam family "Bacterial small subunit ribosomal RNA", at positions 8 to 773 of the family's 1533-position model. The record is from RNAcentral. Lineage: Bacteria; Deltaproteobacteria.